RNAcentral lists this ribosomal RNA (255 nucleotides) under uncultured bacterium. RNAcentral describes it as "partial 16S ribosomal RNA". It matches the Rfam family "Bacterial small subunit ribosomal RNA", at positions 524 to 776 of the family's 1533-position model. The record is from RNAcentral.
GACGAGGGGUCCAAGCGUUGUUCGGAAUUAUUGGGCGUAAAGCGGGUGUAGGUGGCUCUAUAAGUCAGAAGUGAAAGCCCCGGGCUUAACCCGGGAAGUGCUUUUGAUACUGCAGAGCUUGAAUGUGGGAGAGGGUAGUGGAAUUCCAGGUGUAGUGGUGGAAAUAACGUAGAUAUCAGGAGGAACACCUGUGGUGUAGACGGCUCUCUGGACAGUAACUGACGCUGAGACACGAAAGCGUGGGUAGCAAACAGG